Molecule: ribosomal RNA, 628 nt
Filed under: uncultured Russulaceae
Lineage: Eukaryota; Fungi; Basidiomycota; Agaricomycetes; Russulales; Russulaceae
Description: LSU rRNA
Rfam family: Eukaryotic large subunit ribosomal RNA
Source: RNAcentral
UAAGCGGAGGAAAAGAAACUAACAAGGAUUCCCCUAGUAACUGCGAGUGAAGCGGGAAAAGCUCAAAUUUAAAAUCUGGUGGUCUUUGGCCAUCCGAGUUGUAAUCUAGAGAAGCGUCUUCCGCGCUGGACCGUGCACAAGUCUCCUGGAACGGAGCGUCGUAGAGGGUGAGAAUCCCGUCUUUGGCAUGGACACACCAGGGCUUUUGUGAUGCGCUCUCGAAGAGUCGAGUUGUUUGGGAAUGCAGCUCAAAAUGGGUGGUGAACUCCAUCUAAAGCUAAAUAUUGGCGAGAGACCGAUAGCGAACAAGUACCGUGAGGGAAAGAUGAAAAGCACUUUGGAAAGAGAGUGAAACAGUACGUGAAAUUGUUGAAAGGGAAACGCUUGAAGUCAGUCGCGUCGACCGAGACUCAGCCUCGCCUCGGCUUGGUGUACUUCUCGGCCCGACGGGUCAGCAUCAAUUUCGCCUCUUGGAUAAUGGCGAGGGAAACGUGACACCUUUACGGUGUGUUAUAGUCUCUCGUCGCAUGCAAGGGUCGGGAUUGAGGAACUCAGCACGCCCCUUUGGGCGUCGGGGCUUUGCCUACGAUACGUGCUUAGGAUGUUGGCGUAAUGGCUUUAAACGACC